Molecule: ribosomal RNA, 639 nt
Filed under: uncultured bacterium
Lineage: Bacteria
Description: bacterial SSU rRNA
Rfam family: Bacterial small subunit ribosomal RNA (bases 1-544)
Source: RNAcentral
CCUACGGGAGGCAGCAGUGGGGAAUUUUGGACAAUGGGCGCAAGCCUGAUCCAGCAAUGCCGCGUGAGUGAAGAAGGCCUUCGGGUUGUAAAGCUCUUUUGUCAGGGAAGAAACGGUGGAGGCUAAUAUCCUUUGCUAAUGACGGUACCUGAAGAAUAAGCACCGGCUAACUACGUGCCAGCAGCCGCGGUAAUACGUAGGGUGCAAGCGUUAAUCGGAAUUACUGGGCGUAAAGCGUGCGCAGGCGGUUUUGUAAGUUUGUCGUGAAAUCCCCGGGCUCAACCUGGGAAUGGCGAUGAAGACUGUAAGGCUAGAAUCUGGCAGAGGGGGGUAGAAUUCCACGUGUAGCAGUGAAAUGCGUAGAGAUGUGGAGGAACACCGAUGGCGAAGGCAGCCCCCUGGGUCAAGAUUGACGCUCAUGCACGAAAGCGUGGGGAGCAAACAGGAUUAGAUACCCUGGUAGUCCACGCCCUAAACGAUGUCUACUAGUUGUCGGGUUUUAAUUAACUUGGUAACGCAGACUACGUACGUGAAGUAGACCGCCGUCGGGAGGUACGGUCGCGAGAAGUUAAAACGUUAAAAGUAAGUUAGUACGGUACGUGAGACGUAGCCGAACGGACGACGACGAGGGAGGUUAGG